Molecule: long non-coding RNA, 246 nt
Organism: Micropterus salmoides (largemouth bass)
Lineage: Eukaryota; Metazoa; Chordata; Actinopteri; Centrarchiformes; Centrarchidae
Exons: 3
Source: RefSeq, a predicted model, not a curated record
CCAGGAACCAGCGACCCGUUGGCUCCUGGCAAACCAAGGGACCACCAGAGUCUCCCUGACAGAGACAGAUGUUAAUAGUUCAGGGGAAGAAGCAGGCAGUGAAAGUGGAGGUACCUGGCCUCAUGCUGUUGGAGGACUGGCUAAAUGGAUCUGUGAAACUAUCAAUGCCCUUCCCUCUUUCUUUCCUCACCCCCCUCACGGAGAGCGCCCCAGCCGGUGACCCAGCAAAGUAGGUCCGGCUCCAGU